This 201-nucleotide unclassified non-coding RNA is filed under the name uncultured fungus. Its description in RNAcentral is "sequence contains ITS1". Lineage: Eukaryota; Fungi. The record is from RNAcentral.
GUACAUUAGUGCUUGCGCACGACAAUAAAUUUCAUUACAUUCGAGUGUGUAUAAAAAUCCUCUGCCGGCCGAAGCUAGCAAGAGGCCAAAGGUGCACAGGGUAUUGGAUGAAAAAGUCACCGACGUGCACUUGCCGAAGCCAGCACUGAAGGCGACGAUUCGCAAUCAUUAAUGAUCCUUCCGCAGGUUCACCUACGGAAA